This 504-nucleotide ribosomal RNA is filed under the name uncultured bacterium. RNAcentral describes it as "partial 16S ribosomal RNA". It matches the Rfam family "Bacterial small subunit ribosomal RNA", at positions 28 to 507 of the family's 1533-position model. The record is from RNAcentral.
GACGAACGCUGGCGGCGUGCUUAACACAUGCAAGUCGAACGGUGAAGCGCUUGCCUUUUUGGUGGGUGUGGAUGAGUGGCGAACGGGUGAGUAACACGUGAGUAACCUGCCCUCUUCUUCUGGAUAACCUCAUGAAAGUGGGGCUAAUACGGGGUAUUCCGGGUCUGUCGCAUGGCGGGUUUGGGAAAGAUUGCGCCUUUGGGUGUUUUCGGUGGGGGAUGGGCUCGCGGCCUAUCAGCUUGUUGGUGGGGUGAUGGCCUACCAAGGCGGUGACGGGUAGCCGGCCUGAGGGGGUGGACGGCCGCGCUGGGACUGAGACACGGCCCAGACUCCUGCGGGAGGCAGCAGUGGGGAAGAUUGCACAAUGGGCGCAAGCCUGAUGCAGCGACGCCGCGUGAGGGAUGGAGGCCUUCGGGUUGUGAACCUCUUUCGCCAGUGAAGCAGGCCUGCUCCUGUGUGGGUGGGUUGACGGUAGCUGGAUAAGAAGCGCCGGCUAACUACGUG